RNAcentral lists this ribosomal RNA (468 nucleotides) under uncultured bacterium. Its description in RNAcentral is "partial 16S ribosomal RNA". It matches the Rfam family "Bacterial small subunit ribosomal RNA", at positions 28 to 507 of the family's 1533-position model. The record is from RNAcentral.
GACGAACGCUGGCGGCGUGCUUAACACAUGCAAGUCGAACGGAAAGGCCCGGCUUUUUGGCGGUGCUCGAGUGGCGAACGGGUGAGUAACACUUGAGUAAGCUACCCCUGACGUUGGGAUAACUUCAUGAAACUUGUGCUAAUACCGGGUAGGAUCUCCUGCUGCAUGGUGGGGGUGGGUAAGUUUCGGCGGUUGGGGAUGUACUCGCGGCUUAUCAGAUUGUUGGUGGGGUAGUGGCUUACCAAGGCUUGGACAGGUAGCCGGGCUGGGAGGGUGACCGGACCAAUUGGGCUUGGGCUGAGGCACAGACUAGUAUGGGACGGAGCGGUGCGGAAUAUAGCACAGCGCGAGGAGGGAUAAUCUAGCAACGCCGCGUGGGGGAUAAGGGGAAUGGGGUUGUAAAGCGAUUUUGCUUGUGAGGAGGCGUGAGUGACGGUAAUCGGUAAAGAAGCCCCGGCUAACUACGUG